RNAcentral lists this ribosomal RNA (426 nucleotides) under uncultured Paenibacillus sp. RNAcentral's name for it is "bacterial SSU rRNA". It matches the Rfam family "Bacterial small subunit ribosomal RNA", at positions 355 to 774 of the family's 1533-position model. The record is from RNAcentral. Lineage: Bacteria; Bacillati; Bacillota; Bacilli; Caryophanales; Paenibacillaceae.
UAGGGAAUCUUCCGCAAUGGACGCAAGUCUGACGGAGCAACGCCGCGUGAGUGAUGAAGGUUUUCGGAUCGUAAAGCUCUGUUGCCAGGGAAGAACGCCUAGGAGAGGAACUGCUCUUAGGGUGACGGUACCUGAGAAGAAAGCCCCGGCUAACUACGUGCCAGCAGCCGCGGUAAUACGUAGGGGGCAAGCGUUGUCCGGAAUUAUUGGGCGUAAAGCGCGCGCAGGCGGUUGGUUAAGUUUGGUGUUUAAGCCUGGGGCUCAACCCCGGAACGCACUGAAAACUGGUCAACUGGAGUGCGGGAGAGGAAAGUGGAAUUCCACGUGUAGCGGUGAAAUGCGUAGAGAUGUGGAGGAACACCAGUGGCGAAGGCGACUUUCUGGACCGUAACUGACGCUGAGGCGCGAAAGCGUGGGGAGCAAACA